This is a long non-coding RNA of Brassica oleracea var. oleracea, 905 nucleotides long. RefSeq lists it as uncharacterized. The record is from RefSeq and is a predicted model, not a curated record. Lineage: Eukaryota; Viridiplantae; Streptophyta; Magnoliopsida; Brassicales; Brassicaceae. The transcript is spliced from 2 exons.
GAAAAGUUGAUGGAAUCGAAGAGUCUUUGCGAUGAAAGCGAGGAUGGCGAUGAAACGGAGAGAGCUUCAUGCAGUCCACUUCUGCAUCAUUCUUGAAGCUAAACGUGGGUUUGUCUCCCGGUAACUGAGGAAGCGAUGCUUUAUCUGUCGAUCGAUGAGUUUGUCUACUCCUUCAACAGAUCGGAAAGCGUUGCGAUGUAAGCGCCCAUUCCUUUCUUGCCAAAUCCAAUAGAUACAGCUUUGCCAACUUAGUAGUAUUAGUCUACCCCUCCAGGAUCGACUACUGAACGCCUGCAAUUGAGUUGUUACAGCAUCCCAGUUCCGCUGGGGAUCCAAACCACUCCUCCUUGAUUGAGAUAGCCACAAUUCCCAGGCGUAGGUGCACGAAAAGAAUUGAGGUGCCAAAUUACAAAGCAAACAGGUCGGAGGUGUUUGAAGACCCCAUCGUAGAAGCCUGUCUCUUGUUGGGCAGCGGUUGAGAACAAAAAGCCAGCAGAGGAACGAUUGCUUAGGAAUUCCACCUGCUAUCCAUACAAUCUGAUCCCAAGGUUCAAUUGUCUCUCAGACCGAGCAUGAGGCAAGAGCCAGUUCCCAUCCUGUUGAAGAGAGGAGAGCGUAGCAGCCGCUGGAAUCCUAAGAGAAAAGUUUGAAUCCUGGGAAAAAGUAUUGUUCUAGACAGCCAAAGGAUGACCAAUUGUCUGUCCAGAAGCGGCAUGUAAGUCCAUUCCCAACACGCAGUUUGAUCCAAUCGUAAAUUUUACCUCUUAGUUUGAUCAGCUUUUAACUUCUUUUACACUUAUACAUACUUUGAACUUUCCAUGUACUCUAUUCUUUGUAAUUUACAUCAAAACCAUUGUACGUAAACACACCUAAAAUUCAACAUCGGAGAAAAUUACCGCCGCACU